CCUACGGGAGGCAGCAGUGGGGAAUAUUGCACAAUGGGGGAAACCCUGAUGCAGCGACGCCGCGUGAGUGAAGAAGUAAUUCGUUACGUAAAGCUCUAUCAGCAGGGAAGAAACACUGACCUUACGGUCAGCAGACGGUACCUGAGUAAGAAGCCCCGGCUAAUUACGUGCCAGCAGCCGCGGUAAUACGUAGGGGGCAAGCGUUAGCCGGAUUUACUGGGUGUUAAGGGGGCGGAGGCGGUGCGCCAAGUCUGGAGUGAAAUGCCGCGGCUUAACUGCGGAACUGCUUUGGAAACUGGGGAACUAGAGUGCGGGAGGGGUAAGCGGAAUGCCUGGUGUAGCGGUGAAAUGCGUAGAUAUUAGGAAGAACACCGGUGGCGAAGGCGGCUUACUGGAGCGUAACUGACGUUGAGGCUCGAAAGCGUGGGGAGCGAACAGGAUUAGAUACCCCAGUAGUC
RNAcentral lists this ribosomal RNA (458 nucleotides) under uncultured bacterium. RNAcentral's name for it is "partial 16S ribosomal RNA". It matches the Rfam family "Bacterial small subunit ribosomal RNA", at positions 338 to 795 of the family's 1533-position model. The record is from RNAcentral.